RNAcentral lists this ribosomal RNA (492 nucleotides) under uncultured bacterium. Its description in RNAcentral is "partial 16S ribosomal RNA". It matches the Rfam family "Bacterial small subunit ribosomal RNA", at positions 29 to 507 of the family's 1533-position model. The record is from RNAcentral.
AGUGAACGCUGGCGGUAGGCCUAACACAUGCAAGUCGAACGGCAGCACAGUAAGAGCUUGCUCUUACGGGUGGCGAGUGGCGGACGGGUGAGGAAUACAUCGGAAUCUACUUUUUCGUGGGGGAUAACGUAGGGAAACUUACGCUAAUACCGCAUACGACCUACGGGUGAAAGCAGGGGAUCUUCGGACCUUGCGCGAUUGAAUGAGCCGAUGUCGGAUUAGCUAGUUGGCGGGGUAAAGGCCCACCAAGGCGACGGUCCGUAGCUGGUCUGAGAGGAUGAACCGCCACAGUGGAGGUGAAACGCGGACCAGCCUCCGACGGGAGGCACCGGUGGGUAAUGUUGGAAGAUGGGGGCAAGCCUGCCCCAGCCAUACCGGGUGGGUGAAGAAGCCCCGCGGGUGGUAAGCCCUUUUUGUGGGAAAAAAAAGCCAGCAGGUUAACACCCGCUUUUUGUGACGGUACCUAAAGAAAAAGCACCGGCUAACUUCGUG